This 474-nucleotide ribosomal RNA is filed under the name uncultured bacterium. RNAcentral's name for it is "partial 16S ribosomal RNA". It matches the Rfam family "Bacterial small subunit ribosomal RNA", at positions 355 to 815 of the family's 1533-position model. The record is from RNAcentral.
UGGGGAAUAUUGCACAAUGGGCGCAAGCCUGAUGCAGCCAUGCCGCGUGUGUGAAGAAGGCCUUCGGGUUGUAAAGCACUUUCAGCGAGGAGGAAGGUGGUGAACUUAAUACGUUCAUCAAUUGACGUUACUCGCAGAAGAAGCACCGGCUAACUCCGUGCCAGCAGCCGCGGUAAUACGGAGGGUGCAAGCGUUAAUCGGAAUUACUGGGCGUAAAGCGCACGCAGGCGGUUUGUUAAGUCAGAUGUGAAAUCCCCGGGCUCAACCUGGGAACUGCAUUUGAAACUGGCAAGCUAGAGUCUCGUAGAGGGGGGUAGAAUUCCAGGUGUAGCGGUGAAAUGCGUAGAGAUCUGGAGGAAUACCGGUGGCGAAGGCGGCCCCCCUGGACGAAGACUGACGCUCAGGUGCGAAAAGGCGUGGGGAGCAAAACAGGAUUAGAUACCCCUGGUAGUCCACGCUGUAAAACGAUGUCGA